This 190-nucleotide long non-coding RNA is filed under the name Parus major (Great Tit). RNAcentral describes it as "lncRNA (ENSPMJG00000008923.1)". Lineage: Eukaryota; Metazoa; Chordata; Aves; Passeriformes; Paridae. The record is from RNAcentral.
GAGGGACUUGCAUUCUCAAUGGCUCUGGUGGGGCAGAACCCUAUGCUGAGAAUCUCUGAUGGAGGUUCCAGUUCAGGAAAAUAUUAAAACAGAGAACUGGAAGGGACUUCAUAAAAUGCUUACAGCCACAGAAUCUCAGGGUUACAACGAGGCAGUAAGUUGGUCAGUUGGUCCUGUGGGUGCCUUCUGA